Molecule: long non-coding RNA, 324 nt
Organism: Rattus rattus (black rat)
Lineage: Eukaryota; Metazoa; Chordata; Mammalia; Rodentia; Muridae
Exons: 2
Source: RefSeq, a predicted model, not a curated record
CCUGUCUGCUUCAGCAAAACAUCACAUGACAUAACUGAGUCUCCAAAGAAACCAGGAACUUCCACUUCAGGGACCAGUGGUUAUUGUUUAAAAACCCAGAGUCCCAUGAGGAAAACAGCGGCCAGUCCUAUUACAGCACCACUGUCCCUGAGAAAAUGGGAUUCAGCAGCUGUGAGGAGCGCCUACGCUGAAAUUCCAGCACUGGAGGAGGACUACUUAACAAACUGCAACCAAUGGCAUCAACCACCAAUCUACCAACCUGUGCCUCCUGCAUCAAGGCCAUAACAUUUAUAUAUCUAUAAAUAAAACUAUUAUUCAUCUGAA